RNAcentral lists this ribosomal RNA (467 nucleotides) under uncultured bacterium. Its description in RNAcentral is "partial 16S ribosomal RNA". It matches the Rfam family "Bacterial small subunit ribosomal RNA", at positions 28 to 506 of the family's 1533-position model. The record is from RNAcentral.
GACGAACGCUGGCGGCGUGCUUAACACAUGCAAGUCGAACGGAAAGGCCCUGCUUUUGUGGGGUGCUCGAGUGGCGAACGGGUGAGUAACACGUGAGUAACCUGCCCUUGACUUUGGGAUAACUUCAGGAAACUGGGGCUAAUACCGGAUAGGAGCUCCUGCUGCAUGGUGGGGGUUGGAAAGUUUCGGCGGUUGGGGAUGGACUCGCGGCUUAUCAGCUUGUUGGUGGGGUAGUGGCUUACCAAGGCUUUGACGGGUAGCCGGCCUGAGAGGGUGACCGGCCACAUUGGGAGUGAGAGACGGCCCAGACUCCUACGGGAGGCAGCAGUGGGGAAUAUUGCACAAUGGGCGGAAGCCUGAUGCAGCAACGCCGCGUGCGGGAUGACGGCCUUCGGGUUGUAAACCGCUUUCGCCUGUGACGAAGCGUGAGUGACAGUAAUGGGUAAAGAAGCACCGGCUAACUACGU